UAAAAAAAAAUCCUAAAAGUAAAAUUGUUAGUAUUUUGUUGAAAGAACAGCAGUGAAAUGUUUUGUUUUAGCUUUUAGGGCAAAGUUACAGGAAGACAACACAAUACUGAACAUUUUUUGUGUGACUAUUGUUUUUUUUCCCCCUCAGUUUUAACACUUAAGCAGCACCUACUGUUGCUUCAAACUCAAAACGACGCUCCUUCUGUAGAUUAAACUGUUAUUGUCUAACCUGAUAGGCCGUCGAAGCCGACAUAUAAUAUAGUUUUGAAAAAUUUGGGAAUUACUUUCCACACCAGGAUAAAAUUGGACACAAAGUCAACUAAUAAUGGAAAAAUAAUUAACUAUACAUAUUUUCUAACUUG
Poecilia latipinna (sailfin molly) is the source of this 362-nucleotide long non-coding RNA. RefSeq lists it as uncharacterized. The record is from RefSeq and is a predicted model, not a curated record. The transcript has 3 exons. Lineage: Eukaryota; Metazoa; Chordata; Actinopteri; Cyprinodontiformes; Poeciliidae.